GCCGGGUGCAGUAGCACAUGCCUGUAGUCCCAGCUAUUCAGGAGGCUGAGUGGGAGGAUCGCUGAAGCCCAGGAGUUCUGGCUGUGUACUGUGCCAAGAGGGUGUUUGCACUAAGUUCCGCAUCAAUAUGGUGAUCUCCUGGGAGCAGGGAACCACCAGGUUGCCUCAGGAGGGGUGAACCAGCCCAGGCUGCAAAAUAGAAGGAUUGUGUCUCUAGGCCUCUGACCCCUUCGGAUUUUUAUGUCCUCACCCUACACAUAGUGAAAACCAU
This 271-nucleotide small RNA is filed under the name Saimiri boliviensis boliviensis (Bolivian squirrel monkey). RNAcentral's name for it is "Metazoan signal recognition particle RNA (ENSSBOG00000006065.1)". It matches the Rfam family "Metazoan signal recognition particle RNA", at positions 1 to 219 of the family's 299-position model. From Rfam's summary of the family: The signal recognition particle (SRP) is a universally conserved ribonucleoprotein. The record is from RNAcentral. Lineage: Eukaryota; Metazoa; Chordata; Mammalia; Primates; Cebidae.